UACGGGGGGGGCAAGCGUUGUUCGGAAUUACUGGGCGUAAAGGGCUCGUAGGCGGCCAACUAAGUCAGACGUGAAGUCCCUCGGCUUAACCGGGGAACUGCGUCUGAUACUGGAUGGCUUGAGGUUGGGAGAGGGAUGCGGAAUUCCAGGUGUAGCGGUGAAAUGCGUAGAUAUCUGGAGGAACACCGGUGGCGAAGGCGGCAUCCUGGACCAAUUCUGACGCUGAGUGAGCGAAAGCCAGGGGAGCAAACGGG
This 254-nucleotide ribosomal RNA is filed under the name uncultured bacterium. Its description in RNAcentral is "partial 16S ribosomal RNA". It matches the Rfam family "Bacterial small subunit ribosomal RNA", at positions 524 to 776 of the family's 1533-position model. The record is from RNAcentral.